ACUUAAAUAGCUUAAGGUAGAGCAUAAUAUUGAAGCUAUUAUUGUGAUUUUUAUAAUCUUUGAGUA
Molecule: transfer RNA, 66 nt
Filed under: Micropygomyia chassigneti
Lineage: Eukaryota; Metazoa; Arthropoda; Insecta; Diptera; Psychodidae
Description: tRNA-Phe
Source: RNAcentral